Molecule: long non-coding RNA, 236 nt
Filed under: Mytilus galloprovincialis (Mediterranean mussel)
Lineage: Eukaryota; Metazoa; Mollusca; Bivalvia; Mytilida; Mytilidae
Source: RNAcentral
AUCUUUUGCACUAAUAAAAACAUAGGGUCAUGCGGCAUUUUUGGGCAUUCACAUGGCCUUGUUUACAAACAAUGUAGAUUCGCACUGAAUUCCUAUACUGACCCCCAUUACUUUUCAACCCUGUAGUAAAAAUAUUUAGUACAUUCAGCAUUUAUUUUUUAUUUUUUUUCAACUCUAGUUUUGAUCCAUCUACCAAAAAAUAUUUAUUACAAACAUUAUCUACCAAUCAGAAGAGC